RNAcentral lists this ribosomal RNA (489 nucleotides) under uncultured bacterium. RNAcentral describes it as "partial 16S ribosomal RNA". It matches the Rfam family "Bacterial small subunit ribosomal RNA", at positions 29 to 507 of the family's 1533-position model. The record is from RNAcentral.
AUGAACGCUAGCUACAGGCUUAACACAUGCAAGUCGCGGGGCAGCAUGGGGGUUGCUUGCAACUCCCGAUGGCGACCGGCGCACGGGUGAGUAACGCGCAUCCAACCUGCCCUUCACCACGGGAUAACCCGGCGAAAGUCGGACUAAUACCGUAUGUUGUCCAUUGACGGCAUCCGAUUUGGACGAAAGGCUUUGCGGUGAAGGAUGGGGAUGCGUCCGAUUAGCCAGACGGCGGGGUAACGGCCCACCGUGGCUACGAUCGGUAGGGGUUCUGAGAGGAAGGUCCCCCACACUGGAACUGAGACACGGUCCAGACUCCUACGGGAGGCAGCAGUGAGGAAUAUUGGUCAAUGGGCGUAAGCCUGAACCAGCCAAGUAGCGUGCAGGAUGACGGCACUAUGGGUUGUAAACUGCUUUUAUGCGGGGAUAAAGUGGCCCACGUGUGGGCUUUUGCAGGUACCGCAUGAAUAAGGACCGGCUAAUUCCGUG